GACUUCAGGGCAGGGUGUGAUUCCCUACCGGCGGUACAGCCCGCGAGCCGAAAGGCAUGAUUCGGUUAGAUUCCGAAGCCGACAGUUAUAGUCUGGAUGGGAGAAGC
This 107-nucleotide non-coding RNA is filed under the name Mogibacterium timidum. Its description in RNAcentral is "FMN riboswitch (RFN element)". It matches the Rfam family "FMN riboswitch aptamer (RFN element)". From Rfam's summary of the family: The RFN element is a highly conserved domain that is found frequently in the 5'-untranslated regions of prokaryotic mRNAs that encode for flavin mononucleotide (FMN) biosynthesis and transport proteins. This element is a metabolite-dependent riboswitch that directly binds FMN in the absence of proteins. In Bacillus subtilis, the riboswitch most likely controls gene expression by causing premature transcription termination within the 5' untranslated region of the ribDEAHT operon and precluding access to the ribosome-binding site of ypaA mRNA. Lineage: Bacteria; Bacillati; Bacillota; Clostridia; Peptostreptococcales; Anaerovoracaceae. The record is from RNAcentral.